AUAGAUGACAUCACUGAACUGAACAUUGCAGAGGAUUUUGAUAACCGACCUUCCAAAAAGGCAAAAAUUUCUGAAUCAGGUGUUCUGGAACCAUCACCUAUGUCACCAGCUAUGAAAACAUCUUCUCCAUGUUCAGAGUGUUUUGAAUCGAUCAUGCCGGAAUCAGAUAAUCAGAUGAAUCAUGAUACACUACCAUCACCUCCAUCCCCAUCUAGCUCGACAAUAUCUCAUCAUGAUGUUAAGGAACCAGAUUCACAUAAAGAGAUUAAAGUUGAUGAGACAUAUGAUUAUCUCCCACAAGACUAUACAUUGACCGACCAUGAUCUAUGUGCUCAUAUAGCAAUAGAAUCAUCUUUUAGAAAACAAUUGUUGGUUCAGAUAGAUGGACGUUCUGUCUUGCAACAUUAAUUGAUGUGCCUGCUAGAUGCAAAAGAGUGGGUAAAUGAUGAUGUGAUCAAUGCAUGUAUAUGUUGUAUAAAGGACCAAAUACAUCUCCAGAAUGAUAAUAAAGUAUAUUUUGAGAGUCCAUUUGUUACCUCACUAUUUAAACGAGAUGGCACCAUUGGAAUACAAGAAGAUAGUGCCUUCAUGACAGAGACUGUCCUUGAAUAUAUGCAGCAUGACAUGAUUAAACUUCCAAUAAAUGCCAAUAACACACAUUGGUAUUUAGCUGUUGUGAAUACAAAAAAAUGUGAGGUUCAAGUACUAGACUCAUUGUGCUGGAAUUCUGACAGAGAUGAUCUCGCUAAUACGCUACGAGGAAUACAAUUUCAUUUGGACCUUCUUAAAAGUCAAAAGUUGGUAAGUGACGAUUGGAAAGACGUUGAUCUUACUGAAUGGAAGAUCACAGAACAAUUACAAAAGGCAAUUCAAAAAGAUAGCUCUUCUUGUGGUUUAUUUAUGGUUAAAUUUAUGGAAUAUUUCACCGGACGUGCACUAUCCUACCCAAUUACACAAGAAAUGAUUACUUCUUUUAGGUUUAAGUUAGCCAGCAUACUAUUAUGUUGGAAAACAAACACGGCAGCAGGAGAUCCUGAUGAUGUUCAAAUAUUGGAAAGUUUAGAUGAUAUAAAAAAACAAAAACAAAAAUCCUUAUCUGUUGAAAACAAAUACAGAUCACUAAUAUCAAUUCUUUCUAAUAUGACCUUACAUGAGUUAACAGCUGUACUUUGUAGUUUCAUUAAAUCAAUCAAUUACACCGAGAUUUUAGAGAAAGUAUGGAUUUAGAGUUCAAAAUCAUAUCCAAUAAGCUUGUCUCUUAGAAAACUACAAGGAAUGCUAAAGGAUGAUUUACCCAUGGACCGAGAUUGCUUUAACUUGAUCGUACGAAAGAUUAUGUUGGAUGACAUCCAAACAUCACAAAAAAAGCAAUUGAUAGCAAAGCAUUAUCUGGACAUGAAAUUUUGGAUGGCUACUGAUUUUGGAAGGCACCCAGAUUUCCGUAAAAAGUUAGAUGUGGAGCAACUAGCAAAAUCUGUUCGUAGUUGGCCCGGUAUCAAAUAUAAUGUUUCAACAUGCAAAUCGGUAAGAGCACUUUUGUAUAUUUUAGAGAAUUUUUUAUUAUUGCAUCUAAUAUCUAGCCUAUUUCAGAUCCAUAUCCCAGUACAAUCCAUUGAUGAAUUCAUUCUAUUCACAUUGGACCAAGAUACAAGAACAUUAUACAUUUUGGACCCUACUCCUUUUAAUCCAAUAUACCGACAACCCACUCGCAAAAUAUUUGAAAAAAUUAUAUGGAUUAACGAACACUUACCGAAAGCAAUGUCAAAUGCAUGCCCUGGGUCUAGAUGGAACGAGGAUAUUCUCCUAUGGCAUCAUAAAAUCCUAGAUGAUAUUCCAGUUUACAACAGGGAACUGUCUGGUUAUCUUGUUCCCCUAUUCAUGUCCACAUGGGAAGAUGAAAGACCACAUUUGCCAUUUUUAAAAGAUGGAUAUGAACUCAGAAAACUAAUUUUGGGCCAAGUGCUAACAUUCAAGGACAAUGAAUGUGAAGAUAACAUGCCUGCUGGUGUAUUGGAAUUCAUCAAUUGUAUUAGGAAAAUCCAAAAUUAA
RNAcentral lists this ribosomal RNA (2049 nucleotides) under Triticum aestivum (bread wheat). RNAcentral's name for it is "partial small subunit ribosomal RNA". Lineage: Eukaryota; Viridiplantae; Streptophyta; Magnoliopsida; Poales; Poaceae. The record is from RNAcentral.